GGCCUAGUGGUGUAGCGGUUACACGUCCUCUGUUAGUGGUUUAAUUUCCAAAUCCCUGUGCAUAUUAGGAGGAAGUCCCUGGUUCGAGUCCGGGUUAGGCCU
This is a non-coding RNA of Mycena epipterygia, 102 nucleotides long. The record is from the annotation of a GenBank genome assembly. NCBI's taxonomy places the organism in Eukaryota, Fungi, Basidiomycota, Agaricomycetes, Agaricales, Mycenaceae.